RNAcentral lists this ribosomal RNA (253 nucleotides) under uncultured bacterium. RNAcentral describes it as "partial 16S ribosomal RNA". It matches the Rfam family "Bacterial small subunit ribosomal RNA", at positions 524 to 776 of the family's 1533-position model. The record is from RNAcentral.
UACGGGGGGGGCAAGCGUUGUUCGGAAUUACUGGGCGUAAAGGGCGCGUAGGCGGCCUGCUAAGUCGGACGUGAAAUCCCUCGGCUCAACCGGGGAACUGCGUCCGAUACUGGUGGGCUCGAAUCCGGGAGAGGGAUGUGGAAUUCCAGGUGUAACGGUGAAAUGCGUAGAUAUCUGGAGGAACACCGGUGGCGAAGGCGGCAUCCUGGACCGGUAUUGACGCUGAUGCGCGAAAGCCAGGGGAGCAAACGGG